RNAcentral lists this ribosomal RNA (448 nucleotides) under uncultured bacterium. RNAcentral describes it as "bacterial SSU rRNA". It matches the Rfam family "Bacterial small subunit ribosomal RNA", at positions 26 to 507 of the family's 1533-position model. The record is from RNAcentral.
AGAACGAACGCUGGCGGCAUGCUUAACACAUGCAAGUCGAACGGAUAGCUUGCUAUCAGUGGCGCACGGGUGAGUAACACGUGGGAACCUACCUUUUAGUUUGGGAUAACUUUGGGAAACUAAGGCUAAUACCGGAUACGCUUUGCAGCUUGGCGCUGUAAAGGAAAGAUUUAUCGCUAAAAGAUGGGCCCGCGGUGGAUUAGCUUGUUGGUGGGGUAAAGGCUUACCAAGGCAACGAUCCAUAGCUGGUCUGAGAGGAUGAUCAGCCACACUGGGACUGAGAUACGGCCCAGACUCCUACGGGAGGCAGCAGUGGGGAAUAUUGGACAAUGGGCGAAAGCCUGAUCCAGCAAUGCCGCGUGAGUGAAGAAGGUCUUCGGAUUGUAAAGCUCUUUCACGGGUGAAGAUAAUGACGGUAACCCGAGAAGAAGCCCCGGCUAACUUCGUG